CGCCGCCGGUGUUGUUGUGAGAAGUUCAUUAAACCUUAUCAUUUAGAGGAAGGAGAAGUCGUAACAAGGUUUCCGUAGGUGAACCUGCGGAAGGAUCAUUG
This 101-nucleotide ribosomal RNA is filed under the name Lejeunea tapajosensis. RNAcentral describes it as "partial 18S ribosomal RNA". It matches the Rfam family "Eukaryotic small subunit ribosomal RNA", at positions 1731 to 1831 of the family's 1831-position model. RNAcentral also lists the same sequence under 1 other name. The record is from RNAcentral. Lineage: Eukaryota; Viridiplantae; Streptophyta; Jungermanniopsida; Porellales; Lejeuneaceae.